AGGACGAACGCUGGCGGCGUGCUUAACACAUGCAAGUCGAGCGGUAAGGCCCUUUCGGGGGUACACGAGCGGCGAACGGGUGAGUAACACGUGGGUGACCUGCCCUUAGCUCUGGGAUAAGCCUGGGGAACUGGGUCUAAUACCGGAUAUGACCUCGCGAUGCAUGUCGUGGGGUGGAAAGCCUUGUGCGGCUAGGGAUGGGCCCGCGGCCUAUCAGCUUGUUGGUGGGGUGAUGGCCUACCAAGGCGACGACGGGUA
RNAcentral lists this ribosomal RNA (258 nucleotides) under uncultured bacterium. RNAcentral describes it as "partial small subunit ribosomal RNA". It matches the Rfam family "Bacterial small subunit ribosomal RNA", at positions 26 to 285 of the family's 1533-position model. The record is from RNAcentral.